UUUUCGGCAUUGUUAAAAUCAAGUUUCUUUUCAGUAUAAAUUUUGCAUUUUUUGAGUUUAGAAGUUGAAAAAUAGGUAAAAAGUUUGUUUAGGAAAUUAUCUUAAUAAAACUGAAUUAUAUUUUACAAAAAACAAAAUGUCGAAGCGUAUGUCUCGCUAUCCGAGCGAUAGAAAAGUAUAUGUCGGAGACCUCGGAAAUAAUGCUAGGAAAAAUGAGUUGGAAUACGCAUUUAGCGCUUAUGGCACACUACGAAGUGUUUGGAUAGCUCGAAAUCCACCUGGUUUUGCUUUUGUUGAAUUUGAAGAUGCAAGAGAUGCCGCAGAUUCUGUACGGGGGUUAGAUGGACGAAAUAUUUGUGGGCGAAGGGUUCGAGUUGAACUAUCUACGGGAAAAUUGGCUGGCUCAGGUCGUGAUAGACGUGGUUCAGGACGGAGUCGUCCAUUUAAUCCAGAUGAUAAAUGUUAUGAAUGUGGUGGACGCGGUCAUUACGCAAGAGACUGCAGACGCCGAAGACCAUCGAGUCGUCGUAGAAGUCGGAGCCGUAGUCGCUCACGUUCAUAUUCUAGAGAUCGUCGUACUAGAUCACGUACUGGCUCUAGAUCAGAUAGAUCAAAAAGCCGGUCGCGUUCUCGUUCACGCUCAAAAAGUUCACGUAAUGAUUCCAGAAUGAAAAGUUCAAACCGCAGUAAUGAACGCCGUUCAUCUCGUGAAAAUGCUAAUGGUAAUGGUGAAGUUCACCAACAUAGUGGUGACGAAUCUCCACAUGGAGGAGGUGGUGGUGUAAGAAGCGGACGAAGUGACCGCGAUAGAAGCAGCAGCAAACGUCGUUAUAACUCGUCUCGAUCUAAAUCGAGAAGUAGAAGAAGCCGAAGUAAUUCGAGGAAUCGUAACUCUAGAUCAAGGUCUAGAACUGGACGCAAUACAGAUUAAGGAAAAAAUGUUGCGAAAAAAAUGAAGGACGUCAAAGAAAAAAAUUAAAUACUGCGAGUAAUUCGCAAAUGAAAGAAAAAUUUCAAUUUCAAAUAUCGUCUUAAUUUUUAACAAAUGACGACAAGAAAAUUCAUAAAGAAAACAUCAAAUUUAUUCAAUUAUAAUAAUCAUUCACAAAUUCAAAAUGUUGUUUAUCGAACAUUUAAGAAUCAAAACAUGAUCAACAUCGAAUUUAGAUUUAAUGUAUAAAAAUAUCAGUAUUAGAUCAAGGGUUCUUCAUCUGAACAAAAGUUUUCAUCUGAACGAAUAUUCAUCUGAAUAAUUAUAAAAUUGAAUCAGAAAUCCAGUAAAAUACCAGGUUUUCAUCUGAUCCAAUAUCAAGCUUAUAAACCGUUUUCAUCUGAUCUAAAAUCAUGUUUAUAUGUUGCUUUCAUCUGAUCCAAAAAAAAACUAAAUACUGUGUUCAAUAGUUUACAUCUGGUCCAAAAACCGAAUCAGUUAUUCACAUCUAGAGUUCAGAGAAUAAUCAAUUUUACGUAGUUCUCAUCUGAUCCAAUAUAACAAGAAUUCAAAAGUAAAAAAGUAUCACGUUCAGUUCAUCUUCAUCUAAGUUGAGUUAUUUAAAAUAUCAAAGCAAAUCAUCGUAGUAAGCAACUGAUAUCUGCUGGUAAUUGUGAAUGCCUACAUGUUUUCUACUUCAGCACCGAAAGCCAUACUCAUUUGUGUAAUACAUAUUUUGAACAUCAUUGUUCGAGAUACAACAGUGUGAAUACUAAGUUGAGAUUAUGUGUCUUAACGACAUAACGAUAUUGUAGAAAAUAGCAAAUGCUAACAAUGAAUAAUGACGGAAUAUUUGAUCUUUGGGAAGGGCUUUUUAUAAAAAAAUUUCUAAUUUUAGAUUUCACGAGGUGCCCGUAGUGUGAUAGUAAAAAAUUAUUUUGAAAUUUUAAUCAAUUUUACUUCCUAAAACAUUCUGGAAAAAGCUUUGUAAAUUUGUUUUCUAAAUUAAUUCUAAUUUGAAUAUGCUUACAUUUAAAAAAGAAAUUGUAUUGAAGGGGAUAGAAUUUUGUAAGUUUUCUUUUAUUCACUUCUUUUAAGUCAAUUUCACUAAAUAGAGUAUGUACAUAUGUGUGCAUGCAUACUAACUAAUCCUAAGUAACAUUUGAUAAUCAAUUAUUUUAUAUUACCAAAAAUGUAGAAAAGAGUAUAAUAUGGCACCUUUCUCUCGAGAAUUAUUUUAAAAAAAAUAUAAGAUCUCAAAUAUGCUCUUAAACAGCGGGUUUAAGUUUGGAGGGAUAAAAAAAAAUUUUUAAAUAUUUUGCAUGUUUUUUUUUGUUUUUAGCUAGAUUGGUGUGUCAACAGUACUGACUCAGUAUCCUAACAGGAAUUAAAUAAUUAUUGUAUGGAUUUAUCACAUAAAAAUAGAUCAUCUUGGCAGAUACUAUGUAAGUAAAUUAAUUUAAAAAUGAUUUGUAAGCUUUACUUUUGGAAUUAAAUAUGAAAAAUUUUUGA
Molecule: RNA transcript, 2443 nt
Organism: Condylostylus longicornis
Lineage: Eukaryota; Metazoa; Arthropoda; Insecta; Diptera; Dolichopodidae
Gene: x16
Gene name: serine/arginine-rich splicing factor 3
Exons: 2
Source: RefSeq, a predicted model, not a curated record